UUUUUUUCGCACGUGUUUUCAGCUGUUUAAACAGGGUUUUUUUUGGGUUUUUUGGCGUUUUGGUUUUUCACCGGUCUUCCUUAGCUUUCAAAACAAAAAAACAUCGAAAAAACAAUUUGCGCAAAAAAUGUGUUUUCUUUUUUUUCUUGCGAGAGGCACGGUUUUGCUUCGCGGGAGGCACGACCGUGCCUCUCAGAAAUGGAAAAUAAAAAUGAGUUUUUGGUAUUUUUUUUUCUUUCGCUGGAGGCACGGUUUUGCUUCCGCGAGAUGCACGGUUUUGCUUUCGCGGGAGGCACGACCGUGCCUCUCAGAAACAGACAAAAACGCAUUUUCUGUUUUUUUUUUUCACGAGAGGCACAGUUGUGCUUUCGCGAGAAGCACGGCCAUAUCUCUCAGAAAUGAAAAAAGAAAUGCGUUUUCUGUUUUUUUUCUUCUACACGAGGCACGGUUCUGCUUCCGCUAGAGGCACGGUUGUGAUUUCACGAGAGGCACGGCCAUGCCUCUUUUGAAAAGGGAAAUAAUCAUGCUCCUGGUUUGGUUUUUUUUCGUCCCGGUUUUUUCGUGAAAAAAAGUUUGCUAAAACCUGUUAACAUGGGAUCUAGUUUUGAAGAUCUCAACCCGAGGAAUCCAAUGGUGAAAAUGAUUCGAGAUUUGGACGCAGGGUUUAAGAGAUAAAACGUUUUGAAUAAACGAAUCUACGAAAAAGGGGAAAACUCCGAGGUUUUUUUUUUGCGGGUGAACUCCGAGGUUACGAUAAGUUGCGCACAUGCAACGCGCACUUGUAACAACCUGGAAAAGUGGGAGUGAUCUUUCCGAGGAGUACUCCUCAAUUAGUGAUUACAGAAACCAGCUCACCUAUUGAAAGAUUUGCAGCCAUCUUAAAGCGACCAAACAUAAACACUAAUUCGCAAAAAAAAUCCACAAAAAGAAGUACGUGAACAGCAGGGGUCGUAUUCCCUCAAAAGAAAAAAAAAUCAGCAGGGAUCAAACACACAACCACCACGCCGCUAGCCAAUUUGUUCUCUAAAAUAACAACCCAGUUUAAAAAAUUACAGGCCAUGAAUUUCUUUUUUUUUCAAAUUUCAAAAGUGAUAUUCUUUAUGAAUAACCAACAUUUUCAAAUUUUGUUAAAAAAAUAAAAACUCAAACGUUCAGUGAAAACACGAACAUUUCUGUGGAAUAUCACACAUUUUUUCCAAAAAUAAAGAACAAAAUUAAGGACGAGAAUAUUUCUCAAAACUAUGAACAAUAUUCUGAAAAUGCGAACAUUUUUUUGAAAAACACAAACAUUUUCUGAAAUUGUGAUUUUCUUUUCAAAACAGGAACAUGUUAUGAAUUUCCCAGAACAUAUUAUUUUAUUUGAGAACAAAUCCUGAAAAUAGGAAAUUUUUGAAAAACAUAAACAUGUUUCAAAAUUAUGUACAAUUUUCAUAAUUAUAUAAAAGAUCAAAUACGAAUAUUUUAUGAAAUUGCAUGAAUAUUUUCUGAAUUUGUGAACAAAUUUUUAUAACAUGAACAUUUUUUGAAUUUGUGAAUAUAUUUUGAAAUACGGACCAUUUUUUGAAAAUCAGGAACAUUUUGCGAAACUACGANNNNNNNNNNAUAAACAUCGUUUGAAUUUGUGAACACAUUUUAAAAACAGGAACAUCUUUUGAAAACCACAAACAUUUUUUGCAAUUUUGCACUUUUUUGCAAAGCACGAACAUUUUAUCAAAUUCACCAAACAAAUUUUGCAUUUGUGAACAAAUUUUGAAACCUUAAAGAUCGUUUGAAUUUGAAAAAAAAUUUGGAAAUAGGAAUAUAUUCUGGAAUUCAUGAAUAGUUUUAAAAUUUGUGAGCAAAAUUUGAAAUGCGAACAUUUCCUAAAAUUAUGAAAUUCUAAACUUUCUUGUAUUGUCAAACAUUUUAUGAAAAGAAGCAUACAAAUUAUAAAAUUCUAUUUUUUUCUAAAAUAUCUGAACAAAAUUUGAAAACAGAAACAUUUUUUGAAAACUGAAUAAAAUUUGGAAAAAUGAAAAGAUUUUAAAAGUUCUGAACAUUUGAUGGGAAAGAAAAGAAAAGUUGAAAAGAAACAACAAAAUGAAAAAAAAAGGGGGGACCUCCUGUUGGGGCGCCCCUAUCUCUCGCCUUCACCGACCAGAUAGGAACCCUCCCCAAAGGGGAGACCGAGGUGGACCGGGCCAGUAGGGCGGUAGGCCGAAUCCUUGUUUGAUUUGUUUUUUUACGUUUUCUGUUUCGUUUUUUGCUUUAUUUUUAUUUUAUUUAUAAUUUAAAAUAUUUUAAUAUGUAUAUCAAAAACAUCUGUGAAAAAUCAUUUGUGAAAUGUUGACCAAGCAUUUGAAAAAUGUUGAAUGUGUAUACAGAAAAUGUUUACCAACUCUAUGAAAAAUGUACAAUAAAAUGUAUAUAAAAAUGUAAUCAUGUUUUAAAAAAGCAUUAAUCACACAUUUGGGACCAGUAUUUCAAAAAUAUUGAUGAAAAUUUUGUAUAAUAUUAAAUGUGUAUAUAACAUAUGUUGGCCAUGUAUAUUAUUAAAAAAAGGUUCAGUGUGUAUAGAAAAAUUGUUGAUCAUAUAUUUGAAAAAUGAUGAUUUUUUUAUCAUGUAUAUACAAAAUGUUAUUGAAGUAUUUAAAAAAGUAUUUUUAAAAUGUUAAUCAAGCAUUUGGGAAAUGGUAGAUCUGUAUAGAAAAAAUGUUAACCAUGUGUUAAACAAUGAUGAAGAAAAUUGAUCAUGUGUAUAAAAAUGGUAAUUGAGCAUUGGAAAAAUGAUGAAAAAUUAUUUCAAAAAAAGUUAAUCAAUUAUUUGGAAAAUGUUAAAUCUGUAUAGAAAAAAUCUUGACCAUGUAUGAAAAAUAAUGAAUUUGUUUGCCAUGUAUUUAAAAAUGUUAAUAAAUUGGAAAGAAAUGUUGAACAAGUGUUUGAAAAAUUCUAUCAAGCAUGUGGAAAAUGUUAAAUGUGUAUAGAAAUAAUGUUGAUCAGGUAUUUAUAAAUGCAUUAAAUAUAUAUAGAAAUAAUGUUGAUCAUGUAUUAAAAAUGUGAAUAAUGAAUUAAUAAAUAUAAUCAAUCACUCAAAAAAACUAAAGUUGUGCAUAGAAAAAAUGUUAACAGUGUAUUAAAAAAUGUCAAAUUUGUAUUGCUAAAAAUUUAAACAUGUAUUAGAAAAAUACUGUUGACUCAUAUACAAAAAAAUGUAGAAUAAACCAAAAGAACCAAAGAAACCCAGAAAAUAAAAUCCAGAAAAUAAAAAAUAAAAAAUAAGAAAUUAUGAAAUAAUACCAAAGAAACAUAUGCAAAAGGAAUUAAAAACCAAAGAAGAACAAGAAAAGAAACAAAAUCAAACAAAAAAGAAAAAAUAAAGAAAAACAAAACCAAAAUAAAAGAAAAGAAAAGGCCAAAUGAAAAUUGAGAAAAAACAGGGAAAAACCGAUAAAAAAACAAAAGAAAGCAAAACGAAAACAACCAAGAGAAAACAUAGAAAAAAGAGUGCAAAACCCGUCUGGUUUCGCUUAAGUAGUACCGCGCGACUUGUCCACCACAAAUCUGAGGCAAACCUAGUGGCUAGCGGGACUAGGAGACUAGGGUUCGAAUCCCCUUCGCGCUCCUUUUUUCACCUCCCUUUUUUCUUUAUGAACUCUGCGCCGGCGAGUUGGUCUUGCUUAAUGCGAGAUAUAGUAAUUGCGCUCCUGUUCUUCGUUCUCAGCGUAGCUUAGGCCAGUUGGCGCUCGAAGGCGAGCAGUAGUGGUCCUGCCCAGCAUCACCCGCGUCCCGGAACAGAAAAAAUCAUCAACACUAUUUUUUUUGCGAGAUGUGGGGUUCAAACAAGAAUGCCAUCUUUGAUGCACUAAGCGCCAUAUCUACUGCACCACAAUCACUUUUAUGUCCUAUAUCAGAAAACAAUGCUAUUUGACACUUGCUUCAGUCCUAUUAUAAAUUAUUUGAAAUAAGAAAACAUACGUUUGCAAAAGAAUUCAGAGAUUUUAUAGAAGUUCAUCAAAUUUGGAGAAAAAUUCACGGAUUUUCAAUAAAAAAAGUCCAUUAAUUCCUAAAAUGUUCACGAAUUUGGAAAAAGUUCCGUGGAUUUUGAAAAAGAAAGUUUAAAGAUUUUAAAUAAGUGAAAUGGAUUUCGAAAAAUGUUCAUGAAUUUCCCAAAAUUCACUGGAUGCUGAAAACAAAUCAUAGAUUUGAAAAAAGUUCAUAAAUUCUUAUACUGUCUCUAUUUUUAUUUACUCAGCGUAUUAGAUUUGACAGAAGUAUAACAAACAGGGUUUAUCGGGCCUGACUAUAUCUCAUAUUCAGUGAGUCUAGCUUCCAACUCGUUGAAGGGCCGAGCUAGAUGGGACGGCCCACGCAUGCGAGAGGCCAUAACCUCGUUUUUCUAUUUAUUUUUUGGUUUUAUUUUUGUAGUUUUGUUUAUACUUGCAAAUAUUUCAAAAAACAUUAUAAAAAACACUCUAAAAGAUAUUGAUGAAUAAUGAACAAGUAUUUCAAAAAUGUUGAACAGGUAUUUCAAAAAUGUUGAACAAGUAUUUGAAAAAUAUUAAUCAAGCAUUUCGGAAAUGAUAACUGUGUAUAGAAAAAAUGUUGACCAUGUUUAAAAAAAGGAUGAAAAAAUUUGAUCAUGUAUGUAAAAAUGUUAAUCAAGCAUGUGAAAAAAAUAUAGAACAAGUAUUUGAAAAUGUUAAUCAAGCAUUUAGAAAAUCCUAAAUGUGUAUAGAAAAAAUGUUGAUGAUGUAUUAAAAAAAUGGUGAAAAUUUUGAUCAUGUAUAUAAAAUGUUAAUCAGGAUUUGGAAAAAUCAGUGAACAAGUGUUUGUAGAUAAUCAUGCGUUUGGAAAAUGUUAAAUGUCUAUAGGAAAAAUCUUGACUAUGCAUUCAAUAAAAUUAAUUUUUUAUUUGAAAAUUGUUAAUCAAGCAUCUAAAAAAUGUUAAAUAUACAGAAAAAUGUUGAACAUGUUUUCACAAAAGGUAAUUACCUCAUGGACCCCUCCUACGUCUUACGUCAAGAGUAGUUUUGGUCGUUUGCGUAGGCGAAUUUAAUGUAUUUGCACCUUGCGCGCAUGCCCGAGCUUGAUGUCGGCGCGUACCUGAACUUCGGCAAGGCAAGCUCUAUUUUUUAUUGUAAUUGUGGUCUUUACUCAAGGGACAUUCAUGUGUACAAUGGAAGAGUCCCAAGGCUCGAGGAGGCAAAUAAAACGACCACUGUAAAGCGACGUAGAGCUUUUAACUAAUUUACUGACAUCAAAAUUAGAACCAUUCUUCUUUCCUGAAUCUCCCUAAGACGAGGCUAUAGAUACCACGAUUGCCCUCAUUUGAUUCCAUUGAUCACUAUUGAUGGGUCGCAUGUGAUAUCACAUGCGAUAUAAAGCUUAUGGGAUUGCAAGUCCUUCACUAGUGCUAGCUGUUGGGCUACGCCCAUGCAUAUACGGCAAAUUAAGAUUUAAUCCUAGCAAAUUAAGAUUUAAUCCCAUGCAUAUACGGCAGAUCACCCAGGUGCAUUCGUAGGAGAUAGAUCACGAGAUUACCACUAGACAUGACGUCCUUAUAAUGGAACAAGGGUUGGAGCGGCGCAUCACUGAAUUCUUCUCCUCCUUGUUGUCAAUCUCACUCGUUUAGCUUGAUCACCGGAUCCGUCGAACUAGUUCGCCGGAGUAGGAAAAGCGCACUACCUCUAAUGGUAUGUAUGGUAGGAACACCGAGCUACAGACUGCUAGGUCCAGUCGCAUAGCUUGGGCCUGAACAAGUGGCUAGAUACAACACUUGCAAUCCUAGUCGGAGCAAAACUCAUAUACACUCAUUGCAGGUAUACCUCCACUUAUAUAGACGUUCGAUCGUGGGCUCAACACUUGAGACAUGCUUCCACUCAACUAGGAAGGUGUUGCGCCCCCAAAUGCAAGCGUUUGCAGCAAGCAGCAGCUUCCCCUUGAGUGGCCUCAAGGUUUAUCUAAUCCACGGUAGCUACGCAACUACAACCAAUGAUCAGUACCUCCACACACAAAUACAAAACCUUCUUUGUGCCCCCAACAAGACUAGUGAGGUUGUCAGUGAUGCUAGAUACAAAAGGAAAUAAAUGCAAUGGUGGAAUGAUUGGCGGAAAUUAAUGGAAAAAAUGAAAAUCAAGGAAAGUAAAAGAUAUUGAAAGCUUUAUGGAUGAAGAUGGACCAGGAUCCAUAGGUUCACUAGUGGUCUCUCUCAAAAGAUAAGCAACGAUGUGGUGAAUAAAUUGCAAUGUUUAUGAGUAUGAUUAUUCAUGGCAUAAUUAGCAUAUGGUCAUCACGUCCUUAAAUCUAUAAACCGUUAUCCGACAACAUCUAUGUGCACUCCACCCCAAGAUUGCUAUCCAGCAUGCAUCUCAAAAUAUUAAGUAAAACAGAGAACGAUGGCAUGAAGUAGAUCAUAUAUUGUCUUCACCCUGUGUUCAAAGGACAACUAUGAAACCAUAUUUUUAUCAAUAGUACAGGUCUUUUUUUCCACAUUUUGUCACUACGGUAGCUUACUUGCAAGGUUGAAUCCAACUAUCAUACACAACUCCCUUGAUGAUCAAACCCCAAACUUGGCUAGAGAAAGAGAUAAUAGAUCGGAGGGUAUAUAUGAAUAAUAGUUAUGCAAAUAAAUAAACAAAUAGAUCUCAAAAGAAUUCAUAAAUAGAUCUGAUGGAUCACAAUCAUGUAGGAUAGCUCAUAUGAUGUUUGUAUGAGAAGAAGAGAGAGAACCAUCUAGCAACUUUAUGGACCCAUAGUCCAAUGAAAACUACUCACAAGUGGUCAUGAUGGCUUUCAAGUUGAUGGAGAUGGUCAGUGUGAUGAUUUCCCACUCUGGCAGUGUACCAGAAAUGGCCUUCAAAUUGGAUCUUGGUGAAACAGAGGUGUGCGGCGACGGGAAAAUUAUGGAGAUAAAUCCUUGAAGGGUUUCAGAAGCAUAUGAAGGCACGCGGCCGAGAGGCAGUAAAUUGGAGCACCAGUGGGGCUAUGUGGUAGGGGCACGCAGAAGCAAACGAAUGUGUAUGGGUACGCACGCACGAAAUAUCCAUUUCGAUUCACGCGGCAGAAUUGCGUGGGCGCACGAGGCUAGUAUGGUAUGUAUCGUGUUUGAAUUCGACCAUAUUCAAGGGCUGACUUGUUUGAACACAAUGUAUUUUCCCGCUAUUGAAUAUGGUGUAUAGCUGAGAAUCCCGCGCAAUUCCGUCCCUUGCAUGACUUAUGGAAUCACGCUCUCUGGGCAUAUAAUAAUGCUUGUAUCAAGGUAUGCUCCCAAGACUGAAUACAAUUGUACAUUCAUCCUACUUCGUGUUCUUCCUUUCUACACUUAUUCCCUUUACUUUAGUUAUUAUAUGUCAGUCAACUGAAUGAUAAUUUGGGUCAGUCUUUCUUGGUCGUUGAUUUUUGUUGUGCUAGGCGAGUGUAGCGUCUCAUUGCCCAGGCUCAUCUGCACCCGGUUAGAAAAAAAUAAAAAUAAAUAUUAGAGAAUUGAAAAAAAAAAUGUGUGGUAGAUAAUUUGAUGUGUGAGAUCCGCCCCAAUUUUCAGAUAAUUUGGACAUCUGACUACCUCUCAGCCAAAAGACAAAUCGGUUUAGAACAGUAUGUGAACAGUAAACUUCAAAAAAUCGGGUCAAAACGGUGCCGAGAGCUGCUCAGAUGUUCAAAUGAUUUGAAAAUUGGAGCGAACUUCACGCAUCAAAUUAUCCAUCACACCAUAAAUGGAUUUUUUUUGAAUUUUUCGAGUAUUUGUUUUGAUGUUUUUCGUCAUCACGGGAGCAGCUGAGCCUGGGCUCAGAAGUGGAUUAUCGGUGCUAUGUUUGCUUUUCUCGACGCCCUAUAUUUGAGGGUCAAUUAAUUUGCUACCGGGCCAAAGUCCAUUAACUAUGCAAUCCAGCCCUCCUCUCUAUCCCUUUAUUUCUUCUAUAUUUUUUCUGUUUUUAUGUCUUUUUGCUUCUUCUUUUCGUUUUCUUUUGUUAUUUGGUUUUUAUUUUUGUUCUGUGGGUAUUUUUCGGAUGUUGGGUGAGUAUAAAUGUAUACACAUAAACACUAUGCAAUCAGUGCAAAAAUUGCACUAUAUAUGAUUAUUGUUUGCAUACUACAAAAGUACAUUUUUAGAGCAAAGUUAUGUGCACGUUUUAAAAACAAACUUUUGUGUUAUCUUUGUUCUUUAAAGGGUAAUACUAAUGCUACAAAUUCUUUGUGCCUUGUUUUGAAGAAAAAAAUAGUUAUUAUUUCAUUUUCUUUCUUCUUCAAGGGAUAAAACCAAUGCCACUACUUCACGCCAGCUUAGGAUUUGUUUUUUGGCGAAAAUUCCACUAUUAUAUGUUUGUUCUUCAAUAUUUUUGAAAACGCAUUUUGUGAAUAUUGUGUGCAAUUUUUUUCGUUGGUUGUUUAAAUUUUUUAUUUUAUUUCUUUUAAAGGUAAUAUCAAUGCCUCUAAUUUAUUCUUCCUUAGCAAAUCUUUUAUUAUUAUUUUUUAGUUAUUAAUUUAAUUUAUUUCUUCUAAAAGAUUAAUACCAAUAUCGCUAAUUCAUUCUUCCUUAUAAAACCUCAUUAUUUUUAUUUUUUAUGUAUUAUUUCAUCUUUAUUUUUCUUAAAGACUAAUACCAAAGCCACUAAUUCAUCCUUUCAAGAAAAAAUUGGACUUUUGAUUGUUUUUAUUUUAUUUUAUUUCUUUCUUCUUUAGUGAUAAUACCAAUGCCACAAUUCAUUUCUUCUUAGGAAAAUUCUUUUUGUGCAAAUUCAACUAUUAUAUUUUUAUUCUUGCAUAUUAUAAAAACAUGCAAUUUUAGUGUGAAUUGUUUGCAAAUUAGCUCCUUAUUUGUUUUAUUAUUUUUCAUUUUCUUCCUUCUUAAAGGGUAAACCAAUGACACUAAUACAUUUUUCUUAGAAAACUUCAUUAUUUGGAUUUUGUUUAAGUUUUUAUUUCAUCUUAGGGAAAUUCAAUUUUCUUUCUUAUUUAAGGGUACUAUCAAUGCCACUAAUUCAUUCCUUCUUAGGAAAUUACUUUUUUUGUGAAACUUCACUAUUAUAUGCUUACUCUUACAUAUUAUAAAAAUAGCGCAACUUCUUUGCAAACCAUGUGCAAGUUGUGUCUUUUUUUUUGCUAUUCUUUUUCCUUAAAGGGUAUUACCGAUGCCACUUAUUCAUUCUUCCUUAGAGAAAUUCAUUAUUUUGAUUUUAUUUUAGUUUUUUCAUUUCUUUCUUAAAAGGUAAUACUAAUGGUACAAAUUCAUUCCUUCUUAGGAAGCUUAUUUUUUGAGAAAAUGCCACAAUUAUAUGUGUAUUCUUUCAUAUUAUAAAAAAUCGCAGUUUCUGCGUAAUUGUGUGUAAAUCUUAUUAUUAUCUUCUUUCUCCUUAAAGGGUAAUUCCAUUUCUAGUAAUUUACUAUUUCUUAAAAAACUUUAUUAUUUUGAUUUGGAGAAGUAGAGACGCCAAGACUUAUGGAAUCACGCUCUUCAAGGAUAUAUAAUGCUUGUAUAAAUGUAUGCUCCAAAGACUCGAUACAAUUUUACAUUCAUCCCAGUUCAUGUUCUUCCUUUCUACACUGUUCCCUUAGAGAAUUACCGAUAGGUGCAUAGGGCACCUAAAGGUCGUCAAAGUUAAUUUUACAACACCCAAAACUGUUCCAAAGAACUCCAACUUCAAUAGAUGCCCUAAAAACAAAUUAUUUUUGGAAAGCAUAUUGCAUAGAUCAAUUCAAACAAACAUCCGAACAUUACAUAGAUUUAAACCUUAAACACAAAAUUUCAUCAUACUACUUGAUCAAACAUAAAAGAUCACUACUACUCUAUACUUGUCUUAGGGCAUCUCCAAGGCGGACCUGCAAACCGCUCGCACCUGUCCGGACUGGCGAAGUCAU
Molecule: long non-coding RNA, 9834 nt
Filed under: Triticum aestivum (bread wheat)
Lineage: Eukaryota; Viridiplantae; Streptophyta; Magnoliopsida; Poales; Poaceae
Description: long non-coding RNA (TAES_LNC024488)
Source: RNAcentral